GCAAACUGGAGAUGGCGACCGGCGCACGGGUGAGUAACACGUAUCCAACCUGCCGAUAACUCGGGGAUAGCCUUUCGAAAGAAAGAUUAAUACCCGAUGGCAUAAUAGAACCGCAUGGUUUGAUUAUUAAAGAAUUUCGGUUAUCGAUGGGGAUGCGUUCCAUUAGUUUGUUGGCGGGGUAACGGCCCACCAAGACUACGAUGGAUAGGGGUUCUGAGAGGAAGGUCCCCCACAUUGGAACUGAGACACGGUCCAAACUCCUACGGGAGGCAGCAUG
Molecule: ribosomal RNA, 277 nt
Filed under: uncultured bacterium
Lineage: Bacteria
Description: partial 16S ribosomal RNA
Rfam family: Bacterial small subunit ribosomal RNA
Source: RNAcentral